ACUAUUUUGGCAGAAAAGUGUUAUAGGCUUAGGACCUAUUAAUGUAAGAAUUGUCUUACAGAUAGUA
Molecule: transfer RNA, 67 nt
Filed under: Mecistogaster ornata
Lineage: Eukaryota; Metazoa; Arthropoda; Insecta; Odonata; Coenagrionidae
Description: tRNA-Leu
Source: RNAcentral